AUUGAACGCUGGCGGCAUGCCUUACACAUGCAAGUCGAACGGUAACAGGUCUUCGGAUGCUGCCGAGUGGCGCACGGGUGAGUAAUACAUCGGAACGUGCCCAGACGUGGGGGAUAACGAGGCGAAAGCUUUGCUAAUACCGCAUACGAUCUAAGGAUGAAAGCAGGGGACCGCAAGGCCUUGCGCGCUUGGAGCGGCCGAUGGCAGAUUAGGUAGUUGGUGGGAUAAAAGCUUACCAAGCCGACGAUCUGUAGCUGGUCUGAGAGGACGACCAGCCACACUGGGACUGAGACACGGCCCAGACUCCUACGGGAGGCAGCAGUGGGGAAUUUUGGACAAUGGGCGAAAGCCUGAUCCAGCAAUGCCGCGUGCAGGAUGAAGGCCUUCGGGUUGUAAACUGCUUUUGUACGGAACGAAAAGGCUCUGGCUAAUACCUGGGGCACAUGACGGUACCGGAAGAAUAAGCACCGGCUAACUACGUG
RNAcentral lists this ribosomal RNA (482 nucleotides) under uncultured bacterium. RNAcentral's name for it is "partial 16S ribosomal RNA". It matches the Rfam family "Bacterial small subunit ribosomal RNA", at positions 30 to 507 of the family's 1533-position model. The record is from RNAcentral.